This is a long non-coding RNA of Oncorhynchus tshawytscha (Chinook salmon), 4308 nucleotides long. The record is from Ensembl. NCBI's taxonomy places the organism in Eukaryota, Metazoa, Chordata, Actinopteri, Salmoniformes, Salmonidae.
CUAGGAAUUUGAUUAACUGUUCAGCAUUCUUAUGGCUUAGGGGUAGAAGGUGUUCAGGUGCCUUUUGGUCACUGACUUGGCACUCCGGUACCGCUUGCCAACAGCCUAUGACUUCGGUGGCUGGAGUUUUUGACAGUUUUUAGUGCCUUCCUCUGACACAGCCUGGUACAGAGCCAUUCUGUUAUGCUCUUGUAAAACCUCAGAAAACUUCAGUAAAUUCCAAGGUAUACAGAUAUUUUUGUUUUGAUUAAUUUUCUCUCCAGAAUGGGGUGGGGCCUGUUCCAACAAAGAUGUCCUAGAAUGCAUUUUUGAUGAUACCUGAAGAUUAAUAAAGUAUAGGAAAACUUCAAAACAUUGCAUUUCUAAUGUUUGUGGUACUGAUUUGACAGUCUGGUAAAGGCAGCAAAAACACUUUGAUAUAAAACAUACAAGCACAAGAUAUGGGGUGUAAUCAUUAGUCUAAACAGUCGCAAAACAAAUUCAGGUAGGUCCCUCCCCAUUUUGUAACGUUUGCUUCCGUUUAAGGAAAAGUUUUGCAACAGAAUAAGGGUAAUUCAUAUGCCCCUGCUUUGGUGCAGGGACUUCUUUUUUGAUUUUGGGGGGGAAAUGCCAAGAACAACAUGACAAAGGUAAAGUACAUGACUAGGGAAUUUGCCAGCCAACUUUUCUCCGAAGUGACCUGCUUUGUACUUUAUGAUUGGCUGACUUGCUUCUCACUGAGCCAAUCAGUACACUUUGUAACUUUUCUGUUGUAGGGCCAGAUAGGAUGUAGGUAAAAGGUCCGACAACAAAUCUUGCCAGCACCCCCUUUCCCCUCAGGCAGGCAGCAGAGGGAGGAGGACAGGCUAAGUCAAUAUUUAUGUCCUGUGAAGUGUCAAUGUUCCUGCACGUCCAGGGGAAAAAAUCCCCCCUUGUUCCCUUACAGAGUAAACACAUUUUUCUACCACGUGACUGACUGACAUCUUCCUUGGCUAAAAUACUUAUUGGUUCUGGUCCAGUCUAGCCAAGGGAGGGGACAGUGAUGAAUCAGCGGAAACACAGGCUGCCGCUGCAAGCUCAGCAAAGAGAUCAGUAGGGUAAUUCGGUAUUUCCCCAAGUCCUAGAAGGAGCUUAAAUAGAUAUACAAACAUAAGAGGAUGACAUGUUAUUAAGUUGUUAUCAGUGGAGCAGUCAGGUGACCUAGUGGUUAGAGCUUUGGGAUUGCUAAUUUGAAUCCCCAUGCUGAAAAGUUUUUCCCUCACUCAACUUUUUUUUUUUCAUUCAACUUUUUCACUCCGGACACUUUAUCUGGACGUGGUUCGUCAGGACCUCCACCAGCCGAAGCUAAGUAGUAACAUUAACAUGAUGCCUUCUAAUUGCAGUCGUUGUACUCAUAAUAUACAGGAGAACGAUCGCCUUAUGGCGAGGAUAGCUGUGCUGCAAGCCCAGCUUCAGACUCAAUCGUUAGGCAAGGGUAAUUUCAGUGAAGGAAAGGAUGAAACAGUGUCUGUGCCACCAGUAAGUACAGAUAGUAGUAUAAAUCCCCUCGCACGGGGCACAGUGUCUCCUAACCCAUCCUGUAUAAGUCUCCAGUAUUUAUGCUGUAGUAGUUUAUGUGUCGGGGGGCUAGGGUCAGUCUGUUAUAUCUGGAGUAUUUCUCCUGUCUUAUCCGGUGUCCUAUGUGAAUUUAAGUAUGCUCUCUCUAAUUCUCUCUUUCUUUCUUUCUUUCUUUCUUUCUCUCUCGGAGGACCUGAGCCCUAGGCCCAUGCCUCAGGACUACCUGGCAUGAUGAUUCCUUUCUGUCCCCAGUCCACCUGGCCGUGCUGCUGCUCCAAUUUCAACUGUUCUGCCUGCGGCUAUGGAAACCUGACCUGUUCACCGGACGUGCUACCUGUCCCAGACCUGCUGUUUUCAACUCUCUAAAGACAGCAGGAGCGGUAGAGAUACUCUCACUGAUCGGCUAUGAAAAGCCAACUGACACUUACUCCUGAGGUGCUGACCUAUUGCACCCUCGACAACUACUGUGAUUAUUAUUAUUUGACCAUGCUGGUCAUUUAUGAACAUUUGAACAUCUUGGCCAUGUUCUGUUAUAAUCUCCACCUGGCACAGCCAGAAGAGGACUGGCCACCCCUCAUAGCCUGGUUCCUCUCUAGGUUUCUUCCUAGGUUUUGGCCUUUCUAGGGAGUUUUUCCUCGCCACCGUGCUUCUAUACCUGCAUUGCUUGCUGUUUGGGGUUUUAGGCUGGGUUUCUGUACAGCACUUUGAGAUAUCAGCUGAUGUAAAAAGGGCUAUAUAAAUCAAUUUCAUUUGAUUUGAUUAGUAACUGGGUAACUUCGUAAAAAAUACAUUGGCUAAAUUAAAAAAAUAUAUAUAUAGGAUACGUAUAUAAAUGGAAAGGGGGAUACCUAGUCAGUUGUACAACUGAAAUGUGUCUUCCGCAUUUAACUCAACCCCUCUGAAUCCGAGAGGUGCGGGGGGCUGCCUUAAUCGACAUCCACGUCUUCAGCGCCUGGGAAACAGUGGGUUAUCUGCCUUGCUCAGGAGCAGAACGGCAGAUUUUUAUCUUGUCAGCUCAGGGAUUCAAUCCAGCAACCUUUCGGGUACUGGCCCAACGCUCUAACCACCAGGAUAUUGUAUGUUUCUAUUAAGUGUCAUGUGCCAGGGUUGACUAUUACAGGGUCGACAACUUCAUCUUAAAUCAGCCGUAAAUCCCCUUGUGACAGGGGAAAUGGAAGCUUGUUGUGUGCAACAGGGAGGGGCAAUUGAAUGCAAGCCUCACAAAAACAAAAAACAGGGUUGAUGUGUUACGCUCGAUCCGCUCAGUUUUCCACUACAAAACACCAGAAAAUGGACAGAAAGUGUAGAACCAGCUCAACUGCUUUACACUAAGAUUUGACUAUUAGAUACGGAUGCUCAAUACAGAAGUGGUCCGAUGAAGCUGAUGCUAAGCUACAGGACUGUUUUGCUCGCACAGACUGGAAUAUAUUUCCGGAUUCAUCCGAUGGUAUUGAGGAGUUUACCACAUCAUUCACGUCUUCGUUAAUAAGUACAUUGACGACGGUGUCCCAAAAGUGACUAUAAGUACAUAUCCAAACAAGAAGUCAUGGAUUACAGGCAACAUCCCCACUGAGCUAAAGGCUAGAGCUUCCUCUUUCAAGGAGCAGGACACUAAUCAAGAUGCUUAUAAGAAAUCCCCCUAUGUGAGAAUGCUGUUCAUUGACUACAGCUCAGCGUUUAACACCAUAGUGCCCUCCAAGCUCAUCAGUAAGCUAAGGACCCUGGGACUGAACACCUCAAUUUGCAACUAGAUCCUUGACUUCCUGACGGGCCACCCUGAGGUGGUGAGGUUAGGCAACAACACAUUCGCCUUGCUGACCCUCAACACCAGUGUCCCUUAGGUGUGCGUGCUCAGUCCCCUCCUGUACUCCCUGUUCACCUCCCACUGUGUGGCCACACACAUCUACAACACCAUCAUUACAUUUGCCAAUGACACGACGUGGUAGGCUUGAUCACAGACGACAAUGAAGCAGCCUAUAGGGAGGAAGACAAGAGACCUGGCAGUGUGGUGCCAGAACAACAUCUCUCAACACGGGUAAGACAAAGGAGCUUAUCGUGGACUACAGGAACGGAGGGCCGAAUACUCCCCCAUUCACAUCAACGGGCUGUGGUAGAGCGGGUCAAGAGCUUCAAGUUCCUCUGUGUCCACAUCCCUAAGGGCCUAUCAUGGUCCAAAAACACCAACACAGUUGUGAAGAGGGCACAACAAUGCCUCUUCCCCCUCAGGAAGCUAAAGAAAUUUGGAAUGGACCUCAGAUCCUCUAAAAAGUUAUCUGUAUCCAACCAAGGAGCUACAGAGGGUAUACGGCCCAGUACAUCACUGUAGCCGAACUCCCUGCCAUCCAGGACCUCUAUACCAAGCUGUGUCAGAAGGCCAUAAAAAGUUGGCAAGACUCCAGCGAAGUCAUACUCUUCUCUCUGCUACUGCACGGUAAGCAGUUCUGGAGCGCCAAGUCUGGGACCAAAAGGCACAUGAACAGCUUCUACCCCCCAAACCAUAAGACUGCUGAAAAGUUCAUCAAAUGGCUACCCUGAAAAUGUACAUUGACCCCCUUCAUUAUGUAUUUCUUUAUCUUAAUUGAUUAGCACCAACUCCCUUGCACUGACUCUAUGCACACUCACUAGACUCUACCCACACACUCACACAUACUACACUAAAACUCCCGCACGUGCGCACACACACACACACACACACACACACACACACACACACACACACACACACACACACACACACACACACACACACACACACACACACACACACACACA